UCAAUAUUAAAAAUACUCUAAAAUCAUGACAGUAAAUAAAGAACAACACUCUGAAAACAGAGGAAUUACAGACAUGAGUCAAUCAGGGGCAGCUAACACCUCCGAACAAAGGAUUCCCCCAGAAAGGAAUGAAGCUUGCAAGGCCAUUAAUGCUAAUGAAGGUGGCUAAUUGCAACCUUCACAUUUGCCUUGGGCAGACAAGAGUUCUGUCCACCGUGGACCUUCCACAGAUAUAUAAACCUCCCAUGCUUAGUUUGCAAUAUACUUCACAAUCUUUGAGGAUGCUUGCCAUAGAUGUGGGCGAAACGUCAGGAGAGAAUGCUUCUGGAACAUGAUCGUACAACCCGGAAAAAUCACAGCAACCCAAUUAGGGAGUUGCGUGGAUACUACGCUUUCGGUUUUGAAUUUUUUUCCCCCUGGAAACAUAAAUGGGUAUUUUAAGUUUGUCUGACGUCGAGAUGAGACGAAAGGGUUUAUAAACAAAUAUGAUUUGCUCACGAUUACAACCAACAAAGGGUUUUUAAAACCUUAUUUUGGAAUGGAAGAACGAAGCCCGCAUUCAUUUUGGGCGAAGAAACGCAGGCGGCUGUAUCUUUUGUUCCAUUUCCAAGCAGAGAGCCAAGCUUUAGCCUGUAAAAGGGAUCUUUUUCAAAUUCACGGAUUUUUAGCAUGAACUAAAUCUCUUCUUCCAAGGUAUUGAUGGAUGCACAGUAUUCAAGGCUCAGAUAUUUAAGCAGAGUGAAACAUCUCCCUUAACACGCAACUCGUCUCCAAGAAUCGAGGUAACGGAUAUAAACAGCGUUCAGAAUCACACUAGAGAAAAAAAAUCCACUUAAAAUACGGUUUCUGCCUCCUGCAGAAUUCUGGGGUUUGUAGUUUAGUGAGGCUGUUAAAGGCUCCUCCCUAAACUACAAAUCCCAGAAUUCUGCAGGAGGCAGAAACCGGAUUUUAAGUGGAUUUUUUCUCUAGAAUUUAUUCUCUUUUCCCAGCCAGAUACAUAUUUUUUCCCUUUAAUCCGACCCUUUUAACUGUCAUUAGGUGCAAUUGUAAAUCAGUUGGAAAAGGAAGCCUACUCCAUGACUUUAAGAAAAGAGAAGACCCAUUGGAUUACACGAGAAGCGACUUGAGAACAUACUGCAAGUCGCUUCUGGUGUGGGAGAAUUGGCCAUCUACAGAGACGUUGCCCAGGGGACGUCCGGCUGUGUUACCAUCCUGCUGGGAGGCUUCUCUCAUGUCCCCACAAGCUAGAGAUGACAGAUGGGAGCUCACCCUGUCUCGUGGAUUCAAACCAGUAACCUUCAAGUCAGCAUCAGCAACCCAACCUUCAGGUCAGCAGGUCAUCCACUUUGACACCGAGUCCUUGAUGGAGUACUUCCUCAUUCUUCCACAUGCUGCUGGACAUUUUUAUGGUGAUGUUAAUUAGUUAAAUUAGCCUCCCUGCAUAAAGCACCACCUAAAUUUCCUACUCGACAGAUGCUACAAAUAUCGGAAACAGCAAAUGAAGUACCAAGAGUUUUUCAUGUACUUAUUAUAUUGAGUUCCAUCACAGAUCCUCUAAAAAUACAAGGUGAAAGCUCUCCUGGCAUGAUAUUUUACAAAACCAGGAUAUGUAUGUUCCUGAGUGAUUAUAUGAUACCAUGGAAUAACCAAAGCUUGGAAGUAAAGGACUACGAAUAAUCUGUUAUGCGGAAAUGGAUCAUAAUAAUGUAACAAAGCUAUGUUCCAAAAGCAACAGAAUGAAUGGGAAUUGCUUAAAUAUGGCACUGUGUAUGAUAGUGGUGAUAUCGUGUGCACUAUUUUCUAAUUAGUUGGAAAACGAGCCUUAAAAUGCUAUUUCUGUGUGUUUUUAAUUUGUGUAUAUAUGAUAUUUUUAAGUUAACUGUUCAUGUUUGAAUGGCAUCGAAUUGUUGCCGAUUGUUAGCUGCUCUGAGUCCCUCUAUGAGCGACAGAGGACAGGAUAUUAAACAAAGUAAAUAAAUAAGGAAAUAAAUUUCUGGGAUUUUAAAGCAGAAUUAUUUAGUUUUCUGCCAUUUUCUUAUUUCCUUAUGCUAAGGUAUAUUUUUCAAGUACAGUAGAGUCUCACUUAUCCAACAUAAACGGUCCAGCAGAAUAUGUUGGAUAAUAAGGAGGCAUUAAGGAAAAGCCUAUUAAACAUCAAAUUAGAUUAUGAUUUUACAAAUUAAGCACCAAAACAUCAUGUUAUACAACAAAUUUGAAAGAAAAAGUAGUUCAAUACGCAGUAAAGCUAUGUAGUAAUUACUGUAUUUACAAAUUUAGCACCAAAAUAUCACUAUAUAUUGAAAACAUUGACUACAAAAAUGCGUUGGAUAAUCCAGAACGUUGGAUAAGUGUGUGUUGGAUAAGUGAGACUCUACUGUAC
RNAcentral lists this long non-coding RNA (2380 nucleotides) under Anolis carolinensis (green anole). RNAcentral describes it as "lncRNA (ENSACAG00000032123.2)". The record is from RNAcentral. Lineage: Eukaryota; Metazoa; Chordata; Lepidosauria; Squamata; Anolidae.